GAAAUUUGUUCAUCAACAACAAUGGCGACUUCAACCCUAAAUCCUAAUGCUCCAAUGUUUGUUCCCUUCGAGUAUCGUCAAGUGGAGGACUUCUCUGAUCACUGGUGGGAUCUCGUUCACUCUUCUCCUUGGUUCCGCCAUUACUGGCUUCGUGAAUGCUUCUCAGAUCCCGACGCUGACAACGAUUUCUCCCAUACCUACGGUUGUUCUCUUCUCCCUGACACCGAUUUCAUCAAGAAAGAGGAGAAUAAGAAGGAAUUGAUUACUUUGGGGUUGUUGGAAUGGAACAAAUCACGAGUUACAGCUGAAAUUCCAAAGUACGGAAAGAAAGUGCCAAAAAUUGUGAAUGUCAAAGUGAGCCCUAGGCAUAUUCAGCAGCCCAGAUAGAGCAAAUUACCAGUCCAAAGCAUUCGAGUCAGUUAGUAUCUAUCGUGUAAAUAGUGCGUUCAACUUUUUCUGUUCCCCUUUUAAUCGUCAAUAUCUUGUUUGAACUUUUCCUUGAACCUUUUGAGGUUCAAUUUUAGCAUCAAAACUUGUUUUCUCUUGUAAAUUGCGUUUUCAAUAAAUGCCAGAACAGAAAAAUAUGCAUUAGAUCUAAUUGUUCUGUAAUGUAGAAAUACUUGGAAAAUAUUGUUUAGUAGU
This 642-nucleotide unclassified non-coding RNA is filed under the name Hevea brasiliensis (rubber tree). Lineage: Eukaryota; Viridiplantae; Streptophyta; Magnoliopsida; Malpighiales; Euphorbiaceae. The record is from RNAcentral.